RNAcentral lists this ribosomal RNA (425 nucleotides) under uncultured bacterium. RNAcentral describes it as "bacterial SSU rRNA". It matches the Rfam family "Bacterial small subunit ribosomal RNA", at positions 356 to 773 of the family's 1533-position model. The record is from RNAcentral.
AGGGAAUCUUCCGCAAUGGACGAAAGUCUGACGGAGCAACGCCGCGUGAGCGAAGAAGGCCUUCGGGUCGUAAAGCUCUGUUGUCAGGGAAGAACAAGUACCGGAGUAACUGCCGGUACCUUGACGGUACCUGACGAGAAAGCCACGGCUAACUACGUGCCAGCAGCCGCGGUAAUACGUAGGUGGCAAGCGUUGUCCGGAAUUAUUGGGCGUAAAGCGCGCGCAGGCGGUCCUUUAAGUCUGAUGUGAAAUCUUGCGGCUCAACCGCAAGCGGCCAUUGGAAACUGGGGGACUUGAGUGCAGGAGAGGGAAGUGGAAUUCCACGUGUAGCGGUGAAAUGCGUAGAGAUGUGGAGGAACACCAGUGGCGAAGGCGGCUUCCUGGCCUGUAACUGACGCUGAGGCGCGAAAGCGUGGGGAGCAAAC